CCCAGUUCGGAUUGCAGGCUGCAACCCGCCUGUAUGAAGUUGGAAUCGCUAGUAAUCGCGGAUCAGCAUGCCGCGGUGAAUACGUUCCCGGGCCUUGUACACACCGCCCGUCACACCAUGAGAGUCGGGAACACCCGAAGUCCGUAGCCUAACCGCAAGGGGGGCGCGGCCGAAGGUGGGUUCGAUAAUUGGGGUGAAGUCGUAACAAGGUAGC
Molecule: ribosomal RNA, 214 nt
Filed under: uncultured bacterium
Lineage: Bacteria
Description: partial 16S ribosomal RNA
Rfam family: Bacterial small subunit ribosomal RNA
Source: RNAcentral